GUGCUUGCUUGGACAGCGCAUACAUGAAAAUUGGAAGAAGACAGAUCAGCAUGGCUUCUGCACAGUGAUGACAUGUGAAUUAGUGAAGCAUUUCAUUCUUUA
This is a small nuclear RNA of Sorex fumeus (smoky shrew), 102 nucleotides long. The record is from RefSeq and is a predicted model, not a curated record. NCBI's taxonomy places the organism in Eukaryota, Metazoa, Chordata, Mammalia, Eulipotyphla, Soricidae.